UCAGGCCUAACACAUGCAAGUCGAACGAGACCUUCGGGUCUAGUGGCGCACGGGUGCGUAACGCGUGGGAACCUGCCUUUAGGUUCGGAAUAACUCAGAGAAAUUUGAGCUAAUACCGGAUGAUGUCUUCGGACCAAAGAUUUAUCGCCUUUAGAUGGGCCCGCGUUGGAUUAGCUAGUUGGUGGGGUAAAGGCCUACCAAGGCGACGAUCCAUAGCUGGUCUGAGAGGAUGAUCAGCCACACUGGGACUGAGACACGGCCCAGACUCCUACGGGAGGCAGCAGUGGGGAAUAUUAAAGAAUGGGCGAAAGCCUGAUCCAGCAA
This 324-nucleotide ribosomal RNA is filed under the name uncultured bacterium. Its description in RNAcentral is "bacterial SSU rRNA". It matches the Rfam family "Bacterial small subunit ribosomal RNA", at positions 46 to 392 of the family's 1533-position model. The record is from RNAcentral.